UACGAAGGGGGCUAGCGUUGCUCGGAAUUACUGGGCGUAAAGGGCGCGUAGGCGGCUAGUUUAGUCAGAGGUGAAAGCCCAGGGCUCAACCUUGGAACUGCCUUUGAUACUGGCUAUCUUGAGUUCGGGAGAGGUGAGCGGAAUGCCGAGUGUAGAGGUGAAAUUCGUAGAUAUUCGGCGGAACACCGGUGGCGAAGGCGGCUCACUGGCCCGAUACUGACGCUGAGGCGCGAAAGCGUGGGGAGCAAACAGG
Molecule: ribosomal RNA, 253 nt
Filed under: uncultured bacterium
Lineage: Bacteria
Description: partial 16S ribosomal RNA
Rfam family: Bacterial small subunit ribosomal RNA
Source: RNAcentral